RNAcentral lists this RNase P RNA (298 nucleotides) under fish gut metagenome. RNAcentral describes it as "Bacterial RNase P class B". It matches the Rfam family "Bacterial RNase P class B". From Rfam's summary of the family: Ribonuclease P (RNase P) is a ubiquitous endoribonuclease, found in archaea, bacteria and eukarya as well as chloroplasts and mitochondria. Its best characterised activity is the generation of mature 5'-ends of tRNAs by cleaving the 5'-leader elements of precursor-tRNAs. The record is from RNAcentral.
CGAAAGUAGAGGAAAGUCCGCGCAUCCACAAUCUGCGAUGAUUGUCGUGUUUGUACUUCGUCUAAUAAACGGAGGCAACGCAAGUUGACGACAGCCUAAAGCCUUCGCGCAAGCAUGGCCGAUAAGCUAUAAAGUGCCACAGAGACAAGUAUUGUUUGAAAAAACAAAGUGAAAAGAGGUAAACUCUGCAAGGAUGAAACCCAAAUUAUGGUAGGGGAGUUAAGUCAAGGGAAUUGAACUGAGACUUAAAUGCGUAAGCAUAGAUAAAUAGUCGGUUGAAAAACAGAACGCGGCUCAU